ACUCCACACCAUUAUUUACUCCUGCUGAAACUUAGUCUCUCAUAUUAUUAAUUCAUUUUCUUUCCCUAAUUCACAAACUAGUCUUUCUGCGUAACUAAGUGCACUCUGUUAUACUACGUCUUUAUCUUUGUUUUUUGCAUGCCAUAGGUUAAGCUCUAACGAUUCCUUUCACCACGCUCAUUACAGACCAUAAGCUCGAUUGCAAAAUCUCUGUUUUCCUAAAACCUUAUAUACUGGUUCGUUAUACUGAGUAUGCGUAUGUUUUUAGGCUCUACUACAUUUCCUUCUAACAGUCUCCAGGAAGUGUUAUCCCAGUAUCCUGUAAUACUGUAUCAGGUAAGAAGGUUUACCAUUUUUGUUUCCAGUUGUAUUUGUCUUCCCCUGAGGCCUCAUCCAGCCUCCAUGGCCUCAUUCAGCCUCCACCCCUCCGCUCCCCACCCGAAGGUGGUUUCUAAACUUCUAAACGGGCCACGGCAAAGACCCUGCACUGCAAUUUCUAUAACAGUCACCUCCUAAACCAACACCACUUUGCUACUACUAAUUUUAACGAUACAUUGCUUGUCUGUCUUUCGUUUCAUUACUUAGACCUGCUUCAAUACUGCAUUCUCGCCAAAUUUCUAUGCCAUCAACCACUAGCAGCCCACCUGGUAUCCCGUAUUUCAGUACCAGGUAUUGUUAAUCUUACUCACUACGAUUACGUUCUCCUAAAGGCCUCACUCCACCUUCUUAUCAUUUAAAUUCACAAUUGUGGGAACCCAGGGGCUUGUCUCUAACUACGGACCAACGUUCAGGUCCCUCAUCUUACACGGGUUCUUACGUUACAGUAUCAUUGAUACACACCUAUCCAUACGUUUGACAUUUUUACACGAGGCAUACCAGUGGCACGCUCAGGGCCUACUAGCAUCUAUUUUACCCCAUGGAUACCUUGGUCGGACCUGUUCCCUUCAGAAGUAAGUAUUAUUAUUAUUAUUAUUAUUAUUAUGUUAUUUAUAUAGCGCCAUCAAAUUCCGCAGCGCUUUACAAUGGGUGGACGAACAGACAUGUAGUUAUAACCAGACAAGUUGGACACACAGGAACAGAGGGGUUGAGGGCCCUGCUCAAUGAGCUUACAUGCUAGAGUGAUUGGGGCAAAAUGACACAAAAAGGUAAGGAUAGUAUUAGACUAGUGACAGUAUAUAUAUUGAAGACUUCCCGUGCCUCGUCCAAAGCAAUAGGACCAAUACUCAAGGUUAGUAUCUACAUACGUUCAAGUACAUAAUAGGCGCUGGCCUUAGCUACCCUAAGUAAACACACCGGUCACGCAAGAUUUACUCUCCACCUCAACACGCAGGUUUAGCCCAACGACCAAAUCAUAGUUAGCCACCUCGUUCACCCUUCUUUAGGGCUACAGCUAGGGCUUCCCAAGUCACGGCCACACGUUUUGAAUCUCUUACAGUCACCGCCACCACAAAUUCCCUCAGCCCAAACCAUAGGGCCACUUGCCACUUGGCACUAGCAGGGCCUCACCUGUCACUUGGUUCUCGUUAAAUUCUUUGCCUCGGCACUAGUUAGUAGGCCAGUUCUCCGAAGGUCUCAUUCCCCCCUCCACCACACCCUACUUAUUCAUAUCAUUAUUCCUUUUUCAGAAUGUCACAAGAAUCCAUUCUCAUCAUCGAUCUGCCGUCGGACGAAAUACCCAGCACGCCAGUUAGGCCUGAGUCUCCAGAGUAAUCCCUUACCCAGGCCAACGAAAAACAGGCCCGGCACUAGUUCACAAGGAACCACACCCUACUAACCCCUCAGUUUCCACUCAGGAGACCCUGACUGCUAUUCUGGUCAACCUCCAUACGAUGAACAGGCUGCUACAAGUGGAAAUGGCCAUCCCAGGUGACUUGACAGUCCCCCCCCCCACCCUGGUUGUCUCGGCCGUUCAGGCUGGCAUACCCCUCCUUCCCCCUCCCCCUAGGCCUCCAGCAACUAUCAAAAACACAUAUGUCUUAUCUGCUCACUAUGGAGUUUUGCCUCUGUCCUGGGAGAUAAUUGGAUUAAUUCCCAAUUAUCUCCAGGACAGAGGGAGGGAAAUUAGGAUGCAUUGUGGGGAUGUUUUACCUCUGUGUGUCUGUCAUUGGUUCAUGUCUGUCCUUUG
This 2125-nucleotide long non-coding RNA is filed under the name Pelobates cultripes (western spadefoot toad). The record is from RNAcentral. Lineage: Eukaryota; Metazoa; Chordata; Amphibia; Anura; Pelobatidae.